This 440-nucleotide ribosomal RNA is filed under the name uncultured bacterium. Its description in RNAcentral is "partial 16S ribosomal RNA". It matches the Rfam family "Bacterial small subunit ribosomal RNA", at positions 338 to 795 of the family's 1533-position model. The record is from RNAcentral.
CCUACGGGUGGCAGCAGUGAGGAAUAUUGCACAAUGGGGGAAACCCUGAUCCAGCGACGCCGCGUGAGUGAAGAAGUAAUUCGUUAUGUAAAGCUCUAUCUGCUGGGAAGAAAAUGACGGUACCUGAGUAGGAAGCCCCGGCUAACUACGUGCCAGCAGCCGCGGUAAGACGUAGGGGGCAAGCGUUAUCCGGAUUUACUGGGUGUAAAGGGAGCGUAGACGGUAGUGCAAGUCUGGAGUGAAAGGCGGGGGGUGAAACCCCGGAGUGCUGUGGAAACUGGACGGCUGGAGUGCAGGAGAGGUAAGUGGAAUUCCUAGUGUAGCGGUGAAAUGCGUAGAUAUCAGGAGGAACACCAGUGGCGAAGGCAGCUUACUGGACUGUAACUGACGUUGAGGCACGAAAGCGUGGGGAGCGAACAGGAUUAGAUACCCCAGUAGUC